Molecule: long non-coding RNA, 1562 nt
Filed under: Ananas comosus (pineapple)
Lineage: Eukaryota; Viridiplantae; Streptophyta; Magnoliopsida; Poales; Bromeliaceae
Description: long non-coding RNA (ACOM_LNC037866)
Source: RNAcentral
ACCGCUCCUCCACUUCCCCUCCCCCUCCCCCCCUCUCUCUUCCUCCCCCUCUUCCUCUCCCUCUUCUCGACCAACCCGCGACCUCCUAAAACCCUAACCCUAGCUCCCUCCGCGGCACAUUUGGACGAACCCUAACCCUAGCCCCGAGUCUUCUUCCAGCUCCUGUAGUUUCCACUUUCGAGGAUCAUCGGCGCAUUCCCCGUGGCUUUUCGAGAUCCACCACUGCGGGACCGAGGUACUCUCUCUAUCUCUCUCUUGCUCUCCGUUGUUGAUUUAUAGGGUUACCUUUUUAAGUUGUUGGUUUACUUUUCUGAAAAUUUCACUAUCACUUCGGGAGAUUCACCGAUUCGGCGAACUUCGUGCAGUACAAUUCCAACCAUCCCGUAUUAUGUAAAUUGUUUAUUUUAUUGGCCAUUUCUAUAGAUUUUCCUCGUCUUGUGGAGGUCAUUGUCUGUUUUUAGUGUGAUUAAGAGUUGGAAGCAUUCUCUGAAAUUUUUUGCCUUUUUUUGUUAUGUAUGGUAGGGAGUAUAUCUUUGUUUAAAUGUAUAAAAGAUGAUUUUUAUUCAUUCUGUUUGUAGAGGCGCUCCAGAUUAGGAGUUUCAGGCGCAGGAAAUAACCAGUGAAAAGUUUUUCGCAGGUAGCUUGACAAGGUCUCUUCAAAAGUAUUUUUGCGCCUGGAUUCGAGGAUAAAGCGUUAGUUUAUUGUAGUAUUCUGUAACAGUUGAAAUAAUGGGCUGUUUGCGCAUGGUGCCUUCUUUUUUUUGGUGUUCUCUAGUUAGGCCGUAGAUCAGAAUUCAGAAGCUUGUGGAUGCUAAUAUAUCCUCCUUUGCUGAACAAUGCAAACGAGGAAAAAGGUCCUUGCGAGAAAUGCAUCUAGAGAGUAUACUAACUCUAGAUCAUGUAGACAGCCUAAAAAGGUGACUUCAGCUGCUGAAAAGAAAGUUUCGGAUUUAAUCACGUCUUCUGCCAAGAAACAAAAAUCUGGUAAGCAGUUCCCUCUCUGAUUUCAUGGUAUCGAUAGAAAAAAGAUGACAUCAUUUUAUUUUAUAGAUUCUACUGCAGAUAUAUCGUUGAUAGGCUUUUGCUGCUUUUAUUUUGCUGCCUACAUUAUUAGGACUUCGCAAACAUUUAUGAUGCCAAAGUUUGACCCUGAAAUAUAACUUCUUUUAAAUGUUUAAUUUGACCCAUAUUCCGUAAGUUUCAAAAGUAAUGUCUAUCAGAGCAUUUAUAAUAUAUUUUACUAGAUUGUUUUUUUUUGUAUGUCUUUUCCAAGUGCCUACUACUUUUGUUUGAAUGCUCUGUGGUAGGUGGGUUUCGUCCUCUUUGUCAGGGGUUUCAUUAACAGUCUCAUGUAUUGCUUUGCGCUUUGAUGAGGUUGAAGUUUGGGAUUGAAAACUUUCUUGUUCUUGAUGGCAAUACAUAAAUCCGCUUUUGCAGUUGCUGUGAGACUCUCAAAGAAGAAUGGAAUUGCUGAAGUGGGAAGGAACCUGACUUCUGGAUGUGAUGUGACAGGUGAGAAUGAAGGUGUUUGUCCGCCAAAGAAGAUUUCCCUUGAUCAUAAG